UACGGAGGGUGCGAGCGUUGUCCGGAAUCACUGGGCGUAAAGGGCGCGUAGGUGGCCUGUGGAAGUCUGCGGUGAAAGCCCGGCGCUCAACGCCGGGUCUGCCGUGGAUACUCUCGGGCUUGAGCUUACUAGAGGCAGAUGGAAUUCCGGGUGUAGCGGCGGAAUGCGUAGAGAUCCGGAAGAACACCGGUGGCGAAGGCGGUCUGCUGGGGUAAUGCUGACACUGAGGCGCGACAGCGUGGGGAGCAAACAGG
RNAcentral lists this ribosomal RNA (254 nucleotides) under uncultured bacterium. RNAcentral describes it as "partial 16S ribosomal RNA". It matches the Rfam family "Bacterial small subunit ribosomal RNA", at positions 524 to 776 of the family's 1533-position model. The record is from RNAcentral.